Molecule: ribosomal RNA, 506 nt
Filed under: uncultured bacterium
Lineage: Bacteria
Description: partial 16S ribosomal RNA
Rfam family: Bacterial small subunit ribosomal RNA
Source: RNAcentral
GACGAACGCUGGCGGCGUGCUUAACACAUGCAAGUCGAACGGUGAAGGGACUGGUUUUGCUGGUCCUGGAUGAGUGGCGAACGGGUGAGUAACACGUGAGUAACCUGCCCCCUUCUUCUGGAUAACCGCAUGAAAGUGUGGCUAAUACGGGAUAUUCUGGGUCUGUCGCAUGAUGGGCCUGGGAAAGAUUGCGCCUUUUUUGGUGUUUUUGGUGGGGGAUGGGCUCGCGGCCUAUCAGCUUGUUGGUGGGGUGAUGGCCUACCAAGGCGGUGACGGGUAGCCGGCCUGAGAGGGUGGACGGUCACACUGGGACUGAGACACGGCCCAGACUCCUACGGGAGGCAGCAGUGGGGAAUAUUGCACAAUGGGCGCAAGCCUGAUGCAGCGACGCCGCGUGAGGGAUGGAGGCCUUCGGGUUGUGAACCUCUUUCGCCAGUGAAGCAGGCCUGCCUCUUUGUGUGGGUGGGUUGACGGUAGCUGGAUAAGAAGCGCCGGCUAACUACGUG